This 563-nucleotide unclassified non-coding RNA is filed under the name Candida albicans. Its description in RNAcentral is "sequence contains 18S rRNA gene, ITS1, 5.8S rRNA gene, ITS2, 28S rRNA gene". The stretch from base 196 to 349 matches the Rfam family "5.8S ribosomal RNA". Lineage: Eukaryota; Fungi; Ascomycota; Pichiomycetes; Serinales; Debaryomycetaceae. The record is from RNAcentral.
UGGAAGUAAAAGUCGUAACAAGGUUUCCGUAGGUGAACCUGCGGAAGGAUCAUUACUGAUUUGCUUAAUUGCACCACAUGUGUUUUUCUUUGAAACAAACUUGCUUUGGCGGUGGGCCCAGCCUGCCGCCAGAGGUCUAAACUUACAACCAAUUUUUUAUCAACUUGUCACACCAGAUUAUUACUUAAUAGUCAAAACUUUCAACAACGGAUCUCUUGGUUCUCGCAUCGAUGAAGAACGCAGCGAAAUGCGAUACGUAAUAUGAAUUGCAGAUAUUCGUGAAUCAUCGAAUCUUUGAACGCACAUUGCGCCCUCUGGUAUUCCGGAGGGCAUGCCUGUUUGAGCGUCGUUUCUCCCUCAAACCGCUGGGUUUGGUGUUGAGCAAUACGACUUGGGUUUGCUUGAAAGACGGUAGUGGUAAGGCGGGAUCGCUUUGACAAUGGCUUAGGUCUAACCAAAAACAUUGCUUGCGGCGGUAACGUCCACCACGUAUAUCUUCAAACUUUGACCUCAAAUCAGGUAGGACUACCCGCUGAACUUAAGCAUAUCAAUAAGCGGAGGAA